GACGAACGCUGGCGGCGUGCUUAACACAUGCAAGUCGAGCGGAAAGGCCCUUCGGGGUACGUCGAGCGGCGAACGGGUGAGUAACACGUGGGCAACCUGCCCUCAGCUCUGGGAUAACUCCAAGAAAUUGGGGCUAAUACCGGAUAUGACCGCUGACCGCAUGGUCUGGUGGUGGAAAGAUUUAUCGGCUGGGGAUGGGCCCGCGGCCUAUCAGCUUGUUGGUGGGGUAGUGGCCACCAAGGCGACGACGGGUAGCCGGCCUGAGAGGGUGACCGGCCACACUGGGACUGAGACACGGCCCAGACUCCUACGGGAGGCAGCAGUGGGGAAUAUUGCGCAAUGGGCGGAAGCCUGACGCAGCGACGCCGCGUGGGGAGUGACGGCCUUCGGUU
This 392-nucleotide ribosomal RNA is filed under the name uncultured bacterium. Its description in RNAcentral is "bacterial SSU rRNA". It matches the Rfam family "Bacterial small subunit ribosomal RNA", at positions 28 to 423 of the family's 1533-position model. The record is from RNAcentral.